RNAcentral lists this ribosomal RNA (264 nucleotides) under Triticum aestivum (bread wheat). RNAcentral's name for it is "partial small subunit ribosomal RNA". Lineage: Eukaryota; Viridiplantae; Streptophyta; Magnoliopsida; Poales; Poaceae. The record is from RNAcentral.
AUGCUAAUCAAGCAUCCAAUGCCUUUAAGUCCGUCCGCUUUCACGCCGGCCACGGUGGUCAACCUCGCCCCGAGCGUCGACUUCUUCAGAUGCGCGAUGGUAGAUGCCUCGCUCCCCCUCGGAAACACCAUGAUGGACACAAUCGACCUUGCCCUGCCCACCGGCAUGGUCGCCAUUGCAAGCAUCACCUUCCCGUCUAGCCCGUGCUCGCCGACCGCCUCUCACACAACCCGCUCAACAACUACCCGGCUCCUGCUUCCAUGA